AAGCGAAUAGUGAAAUCUGGUGGCUCAACCAUCAACACAUUGUUCGAACUGCUGGUCUCGAGAAUGGUAGAGGUAGCUGGAAUUUCUUGUGUAGGAGUGAAAUCCGUAGAUAUAAGAAGGAACACCAAUGGCGUAGGCAGGCUACUGGACCAUUUCUGACGCUGAGGCACGAAAGCGUGGGGAGCGAACCGGAUUAGAUACCCGGGUAGUCCACGCCGUAAACGAUGGAUACUA
This 234-nucleotide ribosomal RNA is filed under the name uncultured Candidatus Saccharibacteria bacterium. RNAcentral's name for it is "partial 16S ribosomal RNA". It matches the Rfam family "Bacterial small subunit ribosomal RNA", at positions 585 to 818 of the family's 1533-position model. Lineage: Bacteria; Candidatus Saccharimonadota. The record is from RNAcentral.